UGGGGAAUCUUCCGCAAUGGACGAAAGUCUGACGGAGCAACUCCGCGUGAGUGAAGACGGCCUUCGGGUUGUAAAGCUCUGUGAUCCGGGACGAAAGAGCCUGAGGUGAAUAGCCUAAGGAAGUGACGGUACCGGAAAAGCAAGCCACGGCUAACUACGUGCCAGCAGCCGCGGUAAUACGUAGGUGGCAAGCGUUGUCCGGAAUUAUUGGGCGUAAAGCGCGCGCAGGCGGCUUCCUAAGUCCAUCUUAAAAGUGCGGGGCUUAACCCCGUGAUGGGAUGGAAACUGGGAAGCUGGAGUAUCGGAGAGGAAAGUGGAAUUCCUAGUGUAGCGGUGAAAUGCGUAGAGAUUAGGAAGAACACCGGUGGCGAAGGCGACUUUCUGGACGAAAACUGACGCUGAGGCGCGAAAGCGUGGGGAGCAAACAGG
Molecule: ribosomal RNA, 429 nt
Filed under: Fusobacteriota bacterium
Lineage: Bacteria; Fusobacteriati; Fusobacteriota
Description: Fusobacteria bacterium partial 16S ribosomal RNA
Rfam family: Bacterial small subunit ribosomal RNA
Source: RNAcentral